AGUGAACGCUGGCGGUAGGCCUAACACAUGCAAGUCGAACGGCAGCACAGAGGAGCUUGCUCCUUGGGUGGCGAGUGGCGGACGGGUGAGGAAUACAUCGGAAUCUACUCUGUCGUGGGGGAUAACGUAGGGAAACUUACGCUAAUACCGCAUACGACCUACGGGUGAAAGCAGGGGACCUUCGGGCCUUGCGCGAUUGAAUGAGCCGAUGUCGGAUUAGCUAGUUGGCGGGGUAAAGGCCCACCAAGGCGACGAUCCGUAGCUGGUCUGAGAGGAUAGUAAGCCACACUGGAACUGGAACACGGUCCAGGCUCCUACGGGAGGCAGAAGGGGGGCAUAUUGGACAAUGGGCGCAAGCCUGAUCCAGCCAGACCGCGUGGGUGAAGAAGGCCUUCGGGUUGUAAAGCCCUUUUGUUGGGAAAGAAAUCCAGCUGGCUAAUACCCGGUUGGGAUGACGGUACCCAAAGAAUAAGCACCGGCUAACUUCGUGCCAGCAGCCGCCGUAA
RNAcentral lists this ribosomal RNA (506 nucleotides) under uncultured bacterium. RNAcentral describes it as "partial 16S ribosomal RNA". It matches the Rfam family "Bacterial small subunit ribosomal RNA", at positions 29 to 523 of the family's 1533-position model. The record is from RNAcentral.